This 253-nucleotide ribosomal RNA is filed under the name uncultured bacterium. RNAcentral describes it as "partial 16S ribosomal RNA". It matches the Rfam family "Bacterial small subunit ribosomal RNA", at positions 524 to 776 of the family's 1533-position model. The record is from RNAcentral.
GACAGAGGGGGCAAGCGUUGUUCGGAAUUACUGGGCGUAAAGGGCGCGUAGGCGGUUCGCUAAGUUGGAUGUGAAAACUCUGGGCUCAACCCAGAGCCUGCAUCCAAAACUGGCGGGCUAGAGUUCUGGAGGGGGUAGCGGAAUUCCUGGUGUAGCGGUGAAAUGCGUAGAUAUCAGGAGGAACACCGGUGGCGAAGGCGGCUACCUGGACAGAAACUGACGCUGAGGCGCGAAAGCUAGGGGAGCAAACGGG